This 403-nucleotide ribosomal RNA is filed under the name uncultured bacterium. RNAcentral's name for it is "partial 16S ribosomal RNA". It matches the Rfam family "Bacterial small subunit ribosomal RNA", at positions 30 to 526 of the family's 1533-position model. The record is from RNAcentral.
AUUGAACGCUGGCGGCAGGCCUAACACAUGCAAGUCGAGCGAGCGGCGGACGGGUGAGUAAUGUAUGGGGACUGCCCGAAAUAGGGGGAGAACUCCUGGAAAAGGUAGCUAAUACCGCAUACUAUCGCAUAACACAUAUGGGAUUAGCUAGUAGGUGAGGUAAUGGCUCACCUAGGCGACGAUCCCUAGCUGGUCUGAGAGGAUGAUCAGCCACACUGGGACUGAGACACGGCCCAGACUCCUACGGAGGCAGCAGUGGGGAAUAUUGCACAAUGGGCGCAAGCCGGAUGCAGCCAUGCCGCGUGUAUGAAGAAGGCCCUAGGGUUGUAAAGUACUUUCAGUCGGGAGGCGUUACCGACAGAAGAAGCACCGGCUAACUCCGUGCCAGCCGCCGCGGUAAUAC